This is a long non-coding RNA of Dendroctonus ponderosae (mountain pine beetle), 783 nucleotides long. RefSeq lists it as uncharacterized. Lineage: Eukaryota; Metazoa; Arthropoda; Insecta; Coleoptera; Curculionidae. The record is from RefSeq and is a predicted model, not a curated record. The transcript has 2 exons.
AGAUAAAGGUCAGAAAAUUAAUCAUGCUUAGAAUAAAUCGAUAAUACAGAUUUUUACUCCGCCUAUGGCUAGCAGCCAGACCAGUUGAUUUUCCGAUUAUUCUACUCUUUGCUCGGUACCUACUUUAUCCCUACCACCGGUUUUUCAUUGAUAAAUCGCCGAUCGAUAGAAUUUGAACAAAUACGAAUGCCAAAAACAAAACGUUACUCAUUUGUUUCUGGGAUUUGGAACAUAAAAGUGUGACUGUGAGUGAAUCGAUCUCAGUGUUUGCAGUGCCGGAAAAAGUCACAACUGAUACAAAAAAUGGAUGAAUUUAAGAAGAAAUGUCGACAGUACAGUGUUGAUUAUUUGAAAUUUGAUUUGCUUCCAUCAACGUAUUACAAGAGGAGCUACUUGAGCUCAUCACCAACGAGGAACUGAAGGUGAAAUUUUAGAAAGGCUAACAAACAUUUUGGCUGCAGGCAGAAAUCCCCGUAAAAUAUGCUGGGCUAUGGAAAAUUGUGAGAAAAUUUUUGAUAGGGUUUCCCUCGUCCUAUCUUGUCGAAAGAAGUUUUAGUGUCGUUACCAACCUUUUAACAAAACAAUGAGCAUAUUGAACAUCACAGAACGGGGAGAUUUGAGAUUCCUUCUUACAAAACUGAAGACAAAUAUGGAUAAUUUGCUGCCAAUUCAUCAAGUACAUCCGUCUCAUUAAAAGUAUGACUAUGAGAAAGUAUUGUUAAUUUACAUUUCAGAGUUCAUUGUUGACUGUUUGUAUUAAUAAAUGUUUAUAAUUUUGCAUAA